GUCUGGGAUAGCUCAGUUGGCAGAGCAUGAAACUGUUAAUCUCAAGGCAGUGGGUUCAAGCCCCAUGCUGGACA
Non-coding RNA from Podarcis raffonei (Aeolian wall lizard), 74 nucleotides. NCBI's taxonomy places the organism in Eukaryota, Metazoa, Chordata, Lepidosauria, Squamata, Lacertidae. The record is from the annotation of a RefSeq genome assembly.